UCAGACAAUGUGAAAAUACUUUCACUUCAACCCCAUGAAGAUUACAUAGAAGAAAAUGCCAGAUGAAGUUCCUUAUUGUUUCUCAUUCACAGAAUUUAUUUCCACUAAGUUAUUAAAAAAAUGGUUCUGUUUCCAGAGGCCUCUCUCUGCCUGCCCAGAGACUGUACAUCUUCAGAGAUGAGCAAAACUCUGCACUCUGCAAAAUCAGCACCCUCUGUCUAAUCAAAAGUUAACUUGGCCCAGGUUUUAGUUUCUCUGUAAGUUUUGUUGGAAAGUAAUAUAAUAAAUCUUAUUACAAGAUACAGCUGAUUAUGUAUACAUUAUGUCUUUGGAGAAAUUUGCAUUUUAAGAGGAAGGUCAAGGAUGCCUUAAUUACAAACAUUGCAUUUUUGGUUAUUUAAAUAGUAUCUGGGAAAACGGUGAAGAUAUAUAGGAAGUUAAGAAAGAUACCUGUAUCUACCACGUGUGAAAGAUUAUCUCAGUAAAUAGAAUUGGCUACAUAUUCAUCUAUUAUAAUAAUACCAAAAAAGAAGAUAUAUAUCUUCAAAGCGUCACAAUUUUUGUAGUCAGCAAAAUGAAUGGCAAAGAUAAUGAGAGAAUAAAGAUACAAAAAUGAGUAUUUAAAAAUAGAAUUCCAAUGGGAAAACUGUUAAUUUUAAAAAUUAUAUGUAAAGAUGAGGUUGCUGUUAAGCAUUUUACACCAAUAGAGAUAUCAAUUGGAAUAUUUUAUGUGAAGAAAAGAAAUAAUGACUUAACUUUGUCAAUAAAGAAAGCA
Molecule: long non-coding RNA, 775 nt
Filed under: Homo sapiens (human)
Lineage: Eukaryota; Metazoa; Chordata; Mammalia; Primates; Hominidae
Description: HSALNT0019510
Source: RNAcentral